AGUGAACGCUGGCGGUAGGCCUAACACAUGCAAGUCGAACGGCAGCACAGUAAGAGCUUGCUCUUACGGGUGGCGAGUGGCGGACGGGUGAGGAAUACAUCGGAAUCUACUUUUUCGUGGGGGAUAACGUAGGGAAACUUACGCUAAUACCGCAUACGACCUACGGGUGAAAGCAGGGGAUCUUCGGACCUUGCGCGAUUGAAUGAGCCGAUGUCGGAUUAGCUAGUUGGCGGGGUAAAGGCCCACCAAGGCGACGAUCCGUAGCUGGUCUGAGAGGAUGAUCAGCCACACUGGAAUUGAGACACGGUCCAGACUCCUAAGGGAGGUAGCAGUGUGGAAUAUUGGACAAUGGGCGCAAUCCUGAUCCAGCCAUACCGCGUGGGUGAAGAAGGCCUUCGGGUUGUAAAGCCCUUUUGUUGGGAAAGAAAAGCAGCAGGUUAAUACCCCGCUGUUCUGACGGUACCCAAAGAAUAAGCACCGGCUAACUUCGUG
RNAcentral lists this ribosomal RNA (492 nucleotides) under uncultured bacterium. RNAcentral describes it as "partial 16S ribosomal RNA". It matches the Rfam family "Bacterial small subunit ribosomal RNA", at positions 29 to 507 of the family's 1533-position model. The record is from RNAcentral.